Molecule: ribosomal RNA, 450 nt
Filed under: uncultured bacterium
Lineage: Bacteria
Description: bacterial SSU rRNA
Rfam family: Bacterial small subunit ribosomal RNA
Source: RNAcentral
AGAACGAACGCUGGCGGCAUGCUUAACACAUGCAAGUCGAACGGAUAGCUUGCUAUCAGUGGCGCACGGGUGAGUAACACGUGGGAACCUACCUUUUAGUUUGGGAUAACUUUGGGAAACUAAGGCUAAUACCGGAUACGCUUUGCAGCUUGGCGCUGUAAAGGAAAGAUUUAUCGCUAAAAGAUGGGCCCGCGGUGGAUUAGCUUGUUGGUGGGGUAAAGGCUUACCAAGGCAACGAUCCAUAGCUGGUCUGAGAGGAUGAUCAGCCACACUGGGACUGAGAUACGGCCCAGACUCCUACGGGAGGCAGCAGUGGGGAAUAUUGGACAAUGGGCGAAAGCCUGAUCCAGCAAUGCCGCGUGAGUGAAGAAGGCUUUCGGGUUGUAAACCUCUGUCCUUGGUGACGAAAAAAUGACGGUAGCCAAGGAGGAAGCCCCGGCUAACUACGUG